GUGUGUGUGUGUGUUUGUGUGUGUGUUUUUGUUUGUGUGUGUCUGUUCGUUCCAUAUCCUGAUUCCUCACCCACUAAGGGAUUGCCUUGUUUUUCGCAUCUUCGAGAAGCUCUCAGAGGAAUUCCCUCGGCUUCAACAUGGGGAAGAAAACUCGGAUAUUGCCCCACGACUUGGUCCCGGAGGAG
Antechinus flavipes (yellow-footed antechinus) is the source of this 185-nucleotide long non-coding RNA. RefSeq lists it as uncharacterized. The transcript is spliced from 3 exons. The record is from RefSeq and is a predicted model, not a curated record. Lineage: Eukaryota; Metazoa; Chordata; Mammalia; Dasyuromorphia; Dasyuridae.